This 520-nucleotide long non-coding RNA is filed under the name Homo sapiens (human). RNAcentral's name for it is "non-protein coding lnc-MYOF-1:2". The record is from RNAcentral. Lineage: Eukaryota; Metazoa; Chordata; Mammalia; Primates; Hominidae.
CGGGGCGGCUCGAGCUGGGCUGGGGGCUCGCCCCGCGAGCGUCCUCGGGCGGGGCCUGCGGGUUCGCGCCAGAGCUUCCCCGCUCUUCGCAGGCGCUCAGAAAGUGGGCGAACCCAACGCGCAGAACUGACCCGGGCUUGCGCCCCGCAGUGCUCCUGGCCCACCCCCGGCCGCUGGCUCCCUCUGCCGUCCCCGCCCUCGAGCUUCUAGGUGCCUUUCUCUCGCCACUCCAAGGUGAAAGAACUGGGCUUUUCUCUCCUUUGCUCCGACUAUUUCAGGGAAACUGCAGUCGUCGACGCCUGCGUUGGCAUCGCAAAAGCCCAGGAGGGAUAGCGCAGCCGAGAUUCUCCGACAGCUCCCCACCUCUCCCGGCUCUCUGAUCUACCACGUCAGGCAGUGCAAAGGCAGUAUCUCUCUGAAUCCCGGGACGUCUCAGCCAAAGCAGGGAAGACACCCCAAGUACGCUGGAAGGCUGGGUAAGGCGCGAAGGGCAGCCCCAUUCCAGUCUUCAAAGAGAGCU